AUUGAACGCUGGCGGCAGGCCUAACACAUGCAAGUCGAACGAGUGGCGGACGGGUGAGUAAUGUCUGGGAAACUGCCCGAUGGAGGGGGAUAACUACUGGAAACGGUAGCUAAUACCGCAUACCACUGGACUUUACCAGAUGUGAGUAGCUUGUAGGUGAGGUAACGGCUCACCUAGGCGACGAUCCCUAGCUGGCUUGAGAGGAUGACCGGCAACCUUGGAACUGAGAAACGGUCCAGACUCCCACGGGAGUCAGAAGUGGGGAAUAUUGCACAAUGGGCGCAAGCCUGAUGCAGCAAUGCCGCGUGUAUGAAGAAGGAUUUCGGGUUGUAAAGUACUGUCAGCGGGGAGGCGGUACCCGCAGAAGAAGCACCGGCUAACUCCGUGCCAGCAGCCGCGGUAAUUC
This 406-nucleotide ribosomal RNA is filed under the name uncultured bacterium. RNAcentral describes it as "partial 16S ribosomal RNA". It matches the Rfam family "Bacterial small subunit ribosomal RNA", at positions 30 to 526 of the family's 1533-position model. The record is from RNAcentral.